Heterocephalus glaber (naked mole-rat) is the source of this 1439-nucleotide non-coding RNA. The record is from RefSeq and is a predicted model, not a curated record. Lineage: Eukaryota; Metazoa; Chordata; Mammalia; Rodentia; Bathyergidae.
CUUCCUCCUGAUUACUUCUAUCUCACCACCACUUCUUGAGUGUUUCUAUUUAAUUGCUGGGCUUUGGUGAUGUUUCCCAGAACUACAAAUUCAUAUUUUAAACAUGCAAACCUCAGAAUUAGUAGCACAAAAAGCAUUCAGCUAUUCUUCAAUAUGGAAAGGACUUAGAAGUCAUCUGACCCAACCUCCCACUCAAUGCAGAAGUCAUCUAGCAAGUAGUCACUCAACUCUUAUUCAAAUACUUCUAAUGACAGGAAGAAUAUUCAUUUUCCUCCAUCCCUCAAGACAACUCAUUCCAUCUUUGGGCAGCUCUAAGCUAGAUGCUGCGAUGGAGAAGCUUAUACAGCAAGGAGUUGAAGGAGGCUUCCAUCUACCAAUCAACCCUCCGUACAGUUGCUGAAGAACUGAAUUCUGCCAAUACUCACUGAAUAAAUUUGGAAGCAGAGUCUAAUUCUUAGGUAGGAGAAUCAACUUUUGAAGUGCCGACUAUAUGAGAAAAUUCUCAUUGAAUGUGAAAAGUGAUGGAGCAACAAAUGAGAACUCAGGAACUAGCUAUACACUCUUCCUUGAGAAAUGAAAAAGGAAGUUGUACGCCAAGAGCCAAAAUGUUGUUCCCAAAGUAUAAGCAUUGUGCCUGGCCACUCUGCCCACCAACCUCAACCCAGCCUACUACAUGUCUCCAGAAGCCCAGAAAGUAUAAGCCCAGCAGGUGGCCAUUAGAGCCCCACUUAAAUGGGAGUAUCUGCAUCAGCACAAGGAACUUAACGGCCAAGGAUCAUCAAAGAUCCCACCUUGAUUCAAUGGACCUAUGCAAGAUCAACACAUACCUAUCCCAAUUUCAACACACUCCCAAGAACUCACUCUUAGGAGCUGUACUUGGAAUUGGGCCCCUCUUCUGGUAUUGUCUCCAAGACUGAUAGGAAUAAGAAGAAAAAACUUAAUCAGGAAGAAAAAUUGGAUUGAGCAUUUAGUAUCUUAUAUUGUGUCUGGCAAUGACUAUAUUCAUUCUUACAUAAAUAAAUCUCAUACUAAUCAAUUAAAAAAGACUCAGGAGUGAUGGCACAUGCCUGCAAUCCCAGCACUCUGGGAUGCUGAGGCAAGAAGGUCAAAAAUUUGAGUCCAGCCUAGGAAAUUUACUGACUUAAAGAGACUGUAUCGCCAAAAAAAAACACAAAACCUUUUAAAAGUGCUGGGAAUAUACCUUAGUGUGAAGGCACUGGGUUCAAUCUCCAGUACUGAGGAGGGAGAAGGAAAGAAAAGAAAGAAAAAGGGAAGGAAGAAAUGGGUGAAUUAAAUGUGAAAUCUCUUGAAAAAUUAGAUAUAUGUAGAUUCAUGUAGUAACCUCCCUACUUUGAUGUAUUUUUAAAUUCUUUAUAAUUAAAAAAUUUUAAUACUAAUACCUAAUAAAACCAGUAUCUACCAAAGUUGAACAAUACUGU